CACGGUAUAUAUAGCUUGUGUCAAUCGUCAUCGGAGCAACCACGUGGAUAGUCGGGGAAUUUGGUUAAUUUUCCAGUUUGAAAGCAAACAAAAAAUCAAGUACCACGUGUUAGCGCAUAAAACUUUAGUGACUAAGAGUCAUGUUUUCAUCGAACCCACCUCAUCUGAAGAUCUCCUGGCGCCCUAAAUUUAGAAAACAGAGGAUUAAUAUAUGUAUCAAGCUGGAGGCUUUAAAAAAGAAUUUCUAGAAGCGUUCUUGCAAUUUAUGCAAACUAUAAAGUGAAUAAUUGAAGGUAUUCUAACAAUACAAUACAUUGUAUUAAUUGAAGAAAUACUAAGAACAACCAGUGACCAGAGGAAUAUCAGUAUAUGUGAACCAGAUAUUGAAAAUUUCUCACCACAACUGAUAUUUAAAAUAAUA
Long non-coding RNA from Aethina tumida (small hive beetle), 421 nucleotides. RefSeq lists it as uncharacterized. NCBI's taxonomy places the organism in Eukaryota, Metazoa, Arthropoda, Insecta, Coleoptera, Nitidulidae. The transcript has 3 exons. The record is from RefSeq and is a predicted model, not a curated record.